CUAAGGUAGCGUAAUAGGUCGUCCUUUAAUUGGGGAAAAGUAUGAAUGGUCAGAUGGUGGAAGACUUUAUUAGGGGUAGUAUUUUGAAGUUUACUUUCAGUGUGCAAAGGCCUGAAUAAUAUUAUUAGACGAGAAGACCCUGUUGAGCUUGAUAAAGUAUAGCCAAUUAGGCUGUAUAGUACGUUUGUUCGGGGCCGAGAGGAAGGGAUGAUUAUUCCUUCUUUGUCUGUGAGGAUCCAGCAAGGCUGAUAAGAAGAAGAUAGUUACCACAGGGAUAACAGCGCAAUCUUUUUGUCAAGAUCUUAUUUGAGGCUAGGGUUUGC
RNAcentral lists this ribosomal RNA (323 nucleotides) under Hiatula acuta. Its description in RNAcentral is "partial 16S ribosomal RNA". The record is from RNAcentral. Lineage: Eukaryota; Metazoa; Mollusca; Bivalvia; Cardiida; Psammobiidae.